This 332-nucleotide long non-coding RNA is filed under the name Phaseolus vulgaris (common bean). RNAcentral describes it as "long non-coding RNA (PVUL_LNC004881)". The record is from RNAcentral. Lineage: Eukaryota; Viridiplantae; Streptophyta; Magnoliopsida; Fabales; Fabaceae.
AUAAUUGUAGUAUUGAGAGAUAGUGUUCCAGACAUGGCAUAUUUGGCAUCAUGGAAUAUGAAGAAGCUAGGAGGAAGAAAGAAUGUAUGUGGGAAUGUGCUGGCUUUCUUUUACUAGACCUGUAGUUUACUGAGAUGUUUUUGUGGGAAUGUGCUGGCUUUCUUUUACUAGACCUGUAGUUUACUGAGAUGUUUUUGUGAAGAAAAAAGAAAGUGUUUACCAUGGCAACAGUUUGCCAUGAUGAAGUCCCACAUUGAAAACUUUUUGAAAUGAUAACAAGUUUAUAAAGAGACACCUAAUACACUUGGUCACGACCUUACUUGAACAGGAUC